RNAcentral lists this ribosomal RNA (758 nucleotides) under uncultured bacterium. RNAcentral's name for it is "bacterial SSU rRNA". It matches the Rfam family "Bacterial small subunit ribosomal RNA", at positions 1 to 738 of the family's 1533-position model. The record is from RNAcentral.
AACGCCCGAUCGCCUUGAGUUUGAUCAUGGCUCAGGACGAACGCUGGCGGCGCGCUUAACACAUGCAAGUCGAGCGAGAACCAGUCCUUCGGGACUGGGGACAGCGGCGAACGGGUGAGUAACACGUGGGUAAUCUGCCCUCGGCACCGGAAUAGCCCGGGGAAACCCGGAUUAAUGUCGGAUGGCCUCUCGUGCUUUUGGGCGCGAGAGAAAAGGUAGCUUUGGCCUCCGGCCGAGGAUGAGCCCGCGGCCGAUUAGCUUGUUGGUGGGGUAACGGCUCACCAAGGCGACGAUCGGUAGCUGGUCUGAGAGGACGAUCAGCCACACUGGGACUGAGACACGGCCCAGACUCCUACGGGAGGCAGCAGUGGGGAAUCUUGCGCAAUGGGCGAAAGCCUGACGCAGCGACGCCGUGUGCGGGAAGAAGGCCUUCGGGUUGUAAACCGCUUUCAGGAGGGACGAAGCCACUCAGGUUAAUAGCCGAGAGGGUGACGGUACCUCCAGAAGAAGCCCCGGCUAACUACGUGCCAGCAGCCGCGGUAAUACGUAGGGGGCUAGCGUUGUCCGGAUUUAUUGGGCGUAAAGAGCGUGUAGGCGGCCAAGUAAGUCCGGUGUGAAAACUCGAGGCUUAACCUCGAGAUGUCAUCGGAAACUAUUUGGCUAGAGUCCGGAAGAGGAGAGUGGAAUUCCUGGUGUAGCGGCGAAAUGCGCAGAUAUCAGGAAGAACACCUAUGGCGAAAGCAGCUCUCUGGGACGGU